GGAAUCUUGCGCAAUGGACGAAAGUCUGACGCAGCCACGCCGCGUGAAGGAAGACACCCCUAUGGGGCGUAAACUUCUUUUCUACGGGAAGAACACCCUGCUUGGCAGGGUCUGACGGUACCGUCGGAAUAAGCACCGGCUAACGCCGUGCCAGCCGCCGCGGUAAUACGGAGGGUGCAAGCGUUGUCCGGAAUCACUGGGUGUAAAGGGUGUGCAGGCGGGACAGUAAGUCAGAGGUGAAAUCCUGCGGCUUAACCGUAGAAUUGCCUUUGAUACUGCUGUUCUUGAGUCCUGGAGAGGUCGUUAGAAUUCGUGGUGUAGCGGUGAAAUGCGUAGAUAUCACGAGGAAUACCAGAGGUGUAGACGGACGACUGGACAGGUACUGACGCUGAGGCACGAAAGCGUGGGGAGCAAAC
RNAcentral lists this ribosomal RNA (416 nucleotides) under uncultured bacterium. RNAcentral's name for it is "bacterial SSU rRNA". It matches the Rfam family "Bacterial small subunit ribosomal RNA", at positions 358 to 773 of the family's 1533-position model. The record is from RNAcentral.